RNAcentral lists this ribosomal RNA (301 nucleotides) under uncultured bacterium. RNAcentral's name for it is "partial 16S ribosomal RNA". It matches the Rfam family "Bacterial small subunit ribosomal RNA", at positions 509 to 809 of the family's 1533-position model. The record is from RNAcentral.
CAGUCGCCACGGUAACACGGAGGAUCCAAGCGUUAUCCGGAAUCAUUGGGUUUAAAGGGUCCGUAGGCGGUCUUGUAAGUCAGUGGUGAAAGCCCAUCGCUCAACGGUGGAACGGCCAUUGAUACUGCAGGACUUGAAUUAUUGGGAAGUAACUAGAAUAUGUAGUGUAGCGGUGAAAUGCUUAGAGAUUACAUGGAAUACCAAUUGCGAAGGCAGGUUACUACCAAUUGAUUGACGCUGAUGGACGAAAGCGUGGGUAGCGAACAGGAUUAGAUACCCGUGUAGUCCCUGUCUCUUAUAA